Molecule: non-coding RNA, 1053 nt
Organism: Ictidomys tridecemlineatus (thirteen-lined ground squirrel)
Lineage: Eukaryota; Metazoa; Chordata; Mammalia; Rodentia; Sciuridae
Source: RefSeq, a predicted model, not a curated record
GUCCAGGUUGGCCUCAAACUUGUGAUCUUCCUGCUUCAGCCACCUGUGUAGCUGGGAUUACAGAAAACAAAAGAAGAAGUACUUUGCACCUGGAUAUAAAAUUCUGUGUCUCUUGAUAAUGUCGCAAUAUGCCAGUCUCCUACAAAAGGCCAGCUUGAUGAUGCUGAGUUACAUUUCCUAACCGCAAAACCACGGGACUUGUCAACAUAUCCUGUUCCAAAUGACUGGAUUAAAAGAAUGCUGAAGAGAUUUGUCAUUUUGAUGUUCUCAACUAUGACAGCAAAGGUGACCAGGAUUGAGGACCUAUGAUUUAUCAUUGGUUUAAGUACCAGUUUUGGAUGCCAGAGCAAGACUUUGUCUAAAAGUAUGGAGAUGAUGCUCUGAUUCUGGGAGAAAGAGCACUCGCCACAGAAACAAACCAAGAACAGUGAGACCCGACAGAGGGCAAUUCCACAGACUGUUCAUUCGUUGGGGCUGGAUCCACCUCAGCAAAGGAGCACUCAGUAUGUUGCUUCUAGGGAAGAGGAACCAUGCUAUAAUGGAGUCCCAAGGAUUUUGAAAAGAACAAAAGAAUAGUAAUAGAAGAAUGUAAGGUACCUUGAUCCUGUUUACCCACAAGUUCUUACAUAGGGAUAACCAGUAGUGCUUUUGGGGACUUGUAAAGCUUCUGCAAUGUUUCUUUUGAAAAGUGUAGUUUCUCAUUGGUUACCAAUGAGUUUACACUCAGGUCAGGUGGUGGUUGAAAGAGAGUGCUUUGUUUUCUAGUUGUAUAAUGCACAUUCAUUUCUUGUUUUACUCUGAGUAGAAUUUAAAUAUAUUUUAUUCUGAUAAUUUAAAUUGUAUUUAUGAAGCCCUGUUUAUCCCAGGUUCAGUGGGGAAGUUGUAAGAGCUACAUUGGUAGAAAAAGAGAAAAAUGGUUAGAAGUACACCUUGCCACUUCAAAUACUCCCACACUGCUUUGCCCAAAGCAGUUCAACUUUUGUUUGAAAUAUUGGCAUUUUAAAUAAGAUUUUAUGUAGAACUGUUUAUGCUGUUUAAAAAACUUGGACAGUA